GGUCCAGUCAUGACAAGUUGAAUGCUGGGAUCCCAAAGAGAUACACCCUCAUUUGGACAGAGCUUGUGUCUCUAGGGUCCCUGGAUAAGAAGACGCCACAGGUCCAGCUCCCUCUGUGGGGAAGCUGUGGGCCCGUCCAGGCACUGGCCUCUAUCAGCUCCUACUGACAUUGUGAAGGCUAAGAGCAAUGUAUCGCUCCAAUGCCCCUCGCUAUAAUCCGUCCACAGCCCCCUCUCCGACAUCCACUUCCCGCCUGUCAAUCAUCUUCUGGGCGGAGGGAGGGGCGUGGCCAGGCACCGCCUUAGGGACGGAGCUUCUCUCGCACCUUCGUCCCCCUCUUCCCCUCCUCCCCCAUCGGUAUGGAAUUUUCCACUCCGCUUCCCUCCCUCCGCCCUUGCUCUGGAGUGGCUCCCGGCUUGACCAAUCGUCCUCGCUCAAGCCCCGCCCAUGCUGCAAGGGGGCGGGACUCCCUUUUUUUUGUCCCUGCCGCGGUGGGGGAGGGGCGGGGUGCCUCACUCCCCCCUCCCUCCGCGCGCUAAUCGGGAGCUUUGGAAGCUCAGGAGGGUUAAGAGGGACACGCUGCUUUUCCCUCCCCUUAUAAGGAGAAAGACUGCCGGGGCACGUGAUUGGGCCAUUCAAAUGAGCAGGAGGCUUAGCAACAGGCAUCCCAUUGGCUGCGCGCGAGGGCAGAAAACGGUCUGAGAGGGAAGAAAUGGAGGGAAUGGGAGAAGGAGCCCGCGCGGGGGGGGGGGGGGGGAUAUGGGGCGCGUCUCCCUGGCAACAGUGGUGGAUUUGAGCUCGCCAAAAAGAUGGGCCGGGGGGGGGGGGAAUGGGGAUGUGGGGCUCAUUGGCCUCGCUUUGUAUGGUGGAGGUGGGGGCUAGUCCUUUGACUGGCUUCCUUACCUCAGAAUAUUUAUGACAAAUGAAGACUGGCGUGACCCAUUUGUCAAAGUGAUGGAGAAGAGGAAGCAAAGCAGCAGGGUUAAGCAGCACCUGAGAAGAACCCUUAGCUUUCUGUAUAUAAGACAGUGUAAUUUAUUAAAGCAGAAGAAUAUUGGACCUCCACACUACUAAAGUAGACUGGUCAUCAAAGGGGUUUUUUAAAGAGCCUUGAGGGUCUCCUGUGAAACAUGGCUGUGGGUUGGAGAAAGCCUUGUUCCAAGAAGUAAAGGGUUCCAGGAAUGGGCCUACACAUCUUAUUGGUUCAAAACUCACACAAGGAUUCAGUGGCUUAUUUUCAUUUUUUUUUCUUUUAAAAGCAAGCAAGAAAAAACCCCACAGAACAGACCUCCCAAAAGCCUCCUUCCUUUGAAGUUCAAGAGAGACUUCGAAGCUGUCAACAAAAAGUACAAGCUUUGCCUGGUAUGGAGAUGUCAAAAUGCUUUUAUGGCCAGACCACCGUAUGGUGCCCUCCAGCUGGCCUGGUUCUGCCCUGGCAAAGGGCUACUGAGUGCAGGUCUGCCUUUGACGCUGCCAAGGAGGCCCUCAUGACAUCACCAGGGGACAGAAUUGGCCGCCAUGGCAGGAGAUGUCCCAGAAGAAGAGAACAGGAUUCUACCAGUGACCACCAUGAGGGAAGGAUGUUCCGCCCUCACCAGAGCUGUGCCAAAGAAGGAGCCCAGGACUGCUGGAGCCCUCACAAGGUAUGAGUGACUUCCCUGACUAACCCCACCAGGGGAGGGAGGGGGGGCUUAUAAUCUGUCCUUAGUUUCCCUAGGCACUCUCUCCUUUCCGUCUCCUCUGUUGGAGUGCUGGACCUGCCUGCAGUCACCAGGAGGCGCCGUGCUGUGAGGCGCAGAAGCUGUGCCCAGUUGCCCCCAGCUGCCAACUACAAAGGGGGGGCCCAAGCUGCAGCCAAGAAAAGACAGCCAAAUGGGAGUACUGCAUCACAGCCUCCAUCAUCCCCAACUCUCACCACCUCCACCUUCAUGCUCCAUUUCCCAUGACUCCAGACCAAGGGACACCUGCUUCAACACCAUGGGAUCACCCACCACUGACUGAACCUCAGCUUUCACCUCUUCAAGCUCCUGCCCUCCAACCAAAAGGCACAAUCUGAUCUACCAAGGCAGAGGCCCUGCAUGCAGUGAAAUGUCGGGGCUUUGGGAAAUGUUCAUAGCCAUUUCCAAGCCCCGAAGGGGGGAAAAUGUGAUCGAGAUGACCACCCUCCCCCCCCAGGACUUUGUAAAAGAUAGUUCAAAAAUCAAGACUUUAUGUUCUAUAUUCCAUAUAUUUAUAGUAGAAGGUGAUUGAGACUUUUUACUGGAGUUUACUGUGGAUUAUCCUUGCACUCUGAGGCAAGAGAUAACAACUUCAUGAAUUGUAAAAUCAUGCUGCUAAAACUCCACUUUUAUGAAUUUCCAUAUUGGGUUCUCCAGAUGUUAUGAACUUCGUUCUUAUCAAAUAUUUUCAAUUGUUUAUAUCACUCAUGAUUCCCCUUUAUGCAAUGUAACUCACUUUUAUGGAUUCUCCCUUAUUUCCAUGAAAUCUAUCUGUCUGCCUAUAUGUAUUUGUACUCUUUGGGAUCCCCGGAAAAUAUGUAUUUUUCCCAGCAGGGUUUAUAUUCCAACUUUGUUUUAUUUUUCAUUUUAUUUCAUAUAAUUGUCAAGUCAUGAAAUCAAAUAGGAAAUAUUCUGAACUCAACCUGAACCCUAGAACCCAUCCCAGCUCCUAUGACCCAGGCUUCCCCUUCCCAAAAACAAAAGGUGAUUCGCCCCCAAGGCAAACAUUGUCAUAUCUCACCCAAAGGAAAAACCAGGACACCUCAGGAAGGCGCCCUGCAGAGCCUGUAAAUAUGGCUCAUUACCACCCAUCCUUACUUCCACCUCUGACACCCCAAGGCAUAUCUAAAAUCUGUAUACGUGACAGGAACCCUUGAUUGCUGUCAUUAAUCCCUUUAGAAAUCGGUCUAGCAGGAAUUAAUAUGAUAUUUCCUGCCCUGUCACUUCAUUGUUUCAAUAACUCCCGCCUUCUCCUCCCUGAUUGGCUCGAGUGGGGACAAAAAGCAGCUCCCUAUUGGGCCAACAGAGCAAGGCGGGAAACGAAAGCCCGCCUCGUUCAACCCUCUAGCCUAUCCGCGAUCAGAUGGGCGGGGGAGCGGGGCGGGAAAUUCAAGGGGCUGUCAGACUGAAACAUUGUAUAAAUAUGGCUUUAUUUUGAUUAUAUGGUACGCUAGUAGACUGAAUGAUUGCUACUAGUGUCCUUUUCAGCUGAAUCGCUCAAUAAAGACUCCUUGGCGGAUUUUCCUUCAA
This is a long non-coding RNA of Anolis carolinensis (green anole), 3248 nucleotides long. RefSeq lists it as uncharacterized. The record is from RefSeq and is a predicted model, not a curated record. Lineage: Eukaryota; Metazoa; Chordata; Lepidosauria; Squamata; Anolidae. The transcript has 2 exons.